RNAcentral lists this ribosomal RNA (468 nucleotides) under uncultured bacterium. Its description in RNAcentral is "partial 16S ribosomal RNA". The stretch from base 52 to 468 matches the Rfam family "Bacterial small subunit ribosomal RNA", at positions 39 to 507 of the family's 1533-position model. The record is from RNAcentral.
GGGGGGGGGGGGGGGGGGGGGGGGGGCGUGGGGGGCGGGGGGGGGGGGGGUGCGGUGGUGGGGUGCUCGGGGGGCGGACGGGUGGGUGACGCGUGGGUACCCUGCCCUUGACUUUGGGAUAACUUCCGGCAGCUGGGGCUAAUACCGGAUAGGAGCUCCUGCUGCAUGGUGGGGGUUGGAAAGUUUCGGCGGUUGGGGAUGGACUCGCGGCUUAUCAGCUUGUUGGUGGGGUAGUGGCUUACCAAGGCGUUGACGGGUCGCCGGCCUGAGAGGGUGACCGGCCACAUUGGGACUGAGAUACGGCCCAGACUCCUACGGGAGGCAGCAGUGGGGAAUAUUGCACAAUGGGCGGAAGCCUGAUGCAGCAACGCCGCGUGCGGGAUGACGGCCUUCGGGUUGUAAACCGCUUUCGCCUGUGACGAAGCGUGAGUGACGGUAAUGGGUAAAGAAGCACCGGCUAACUACGUG